This 1026-nucleotide ribosomal RNA is filed under the name Rhizobium sp. NCCP-1185. RNAcentral's name for it is "bacterial SSU rRNA". It matches the Rfam family "Bacterial small subunit ribosomal RNA", at positions 135 to 1198 of the family's 1533-position model. The record is from RNAcentral. Lineage: Bacteria; Pseudomonadati; Pseudomonadota; Alphaproteobacteria; Hyphomicrobiales; Rhizobiaceae.
CCUACGGAAUAACGCAUGGAAACGUGUGCUAAUACCGUAUACGCCCUACGGGGGAAAGAUUUAUCGGGGUAUGAUGAGCCCGCGUUGGAUUAGCUAGUUGGUGGGGUAAAGGCCUACCAAGGCGACGAUCCAUAGCUGGUCUGAGAGGAUGAUCAGCCACAUUGGGACUGAGACACGGCCCAAACUCCUACGGGAGGCAGCAGUGGGGAAUAUUGGACAAUGGGCGCAAGCCUGAUCCAGCCAUGCCGCGUGAGUGAUGAAGGUCUUAGGAUUGUAAAGCUCUUUCACCGAUGAAGAUAAUGACGGUAGUCGGAGAAGAAGCCCCGGCUAACUUCGUGCCAGCAGCCGCGGUAAUACGAAGGGGGCUAGCGUUGUUCGGAAUUACUGGGCGUAAAGCGCACGUAGGCGGAUAUUUAAGUCAGGGGUGAAAUCCCGCAGCUCAACUGCGGAACUGCCUUUGAUACUGGGUAUCUCGAGUAUGGAAGAGGUGAGUGGAAUUCCGAGUGUAGAGGUGAAAUUCGUAGAUAUUCGGAGGAACACCAGUGGCGAAGGCGGCUCACUGGUCCAUUACUGACGCUGAGGUGCGAAAGCGUGGGGAGCAAACAGGAUUAGAUACCCUGGUAGUCCACGCCGUACACGAUGAAUGUUAGCCGUCGGGCAGCUCGCUGUUCGGUGGCGCAGCUGACGCAUUAAACAUUCCGCCUGGGGAGUACGGUCGCAAGAUUAAAACUCAAGGAAUUGACGGGGGCCCGCACAAGCGGUGGAGCAUGUGGUUUAAUUCGGAAGCAACGCGCAGAACCUUACCAGCUCUAGACAUUCGGGGUAUGGGCAGUGGGAGACACUGUCCUUCAGUUCGGGCUGGGCCCCAGAAACAGGUGCUGCAUGGCUGUCGUCAGCUCGUGUCGUGAAGAUGUUGGGGUUAAGUCCCGCAACGAAGCGCAACCCUCGCCCUAGUUGCCAGCAAUCAAUUGGGCACUCUAGGGACUGCCGGUAUACCCGAGCGAGUGGAUGACUCAGUCCUCAAGG